UUCGGACUGGAGUCUGCAACCCGACUCCACGAAGUUGGAUUCGCUAGUAAUCGCGCAUCAGCCAUGGCGCGGUGGAUACGUUCCCGGGCCUUGUACACACCGCCCGUCAAGCCAUGGGAGCCGGGGGCGCCUGAAGUCCGGGACCGCGAGGACCGGCCUAGGGCGAAACUGGUAACUGGGCUAAGUCGUAACAAGGUAGC
RNAcentral lists this ribosomal RNA (200 nucleotides) under uncultured bacterium. Its description in RNAcentral is "partial 16S ribosomal RNA". It matches the Rfam family "Bacterial small subunit ribosomal RNA", at positions 1292 to 1500 of the family's 1533-position model. The record is from RNAcentral.